ACAGACUAAGGUCAGAUGUCUUCCGUGGCUGGACUUGCUGGUCUCUACAUCAUGAAAAACAGCUAAGGUUGCUUCCAGGAUUCUUGGUUCUUCUGUUUUUGCCUUUGGAAUCCACAUCCUUGAACAAGAAACCCUGUGCUUGGUGGUGCCCUCCAAACCCUCCAUGUGUCAACACUGAUGCCUGCCGCUGCAUUCCAGGAUUCAGUUCUGCAUCUGAGGACAGCUUCACCAGCCCCCUGAAGAGUUGCCAUGGUACAGAGCCCUGGGGUGGUGGAAAAGCUCAGACAGAUUUGAGGAGAGGCUGUGGUACAUCUAUAGCAUUCAGCUCUGAGGGCAGCACAGAAGCACUUUGUUGAGAAUAAGAAAGGAGACACUUUAAGAAAGCAC
RNAcentral lists this long non-coding RNA (387 nucleotides) under Capra hircus (goat). RNAcentral describes it as "lncRNA (ENSCHIG00000007183.1)". The record is from RNAcentral. Lineage: Eukaryota; Metazoa; Chordata; Mammalia; Artiodactyla; Bovidae.